GGCCCUGGGGGGCGGGGCGAGGGCUGAGCCACAGCAGGCCAGCUGCGCCCCCUUCACACACCGAGCCCAGCUUCCCCGCCCCCGGAGCACCCCCCAGCGGUACCUUAAGCAGUCGUCUGAGCAGGGCCUUGUCUCGGUGGAGGCGCAGACCCGGAGAGGCCCCGCGUUCCCAGGACCCUUGGGUGGAGACCGGGGACCUCACCUGGCAUCUUGGGCUCCCCGAUGCGGAGAACGUGGGGCCAGUGCUGGAGCGUUUUGAUAAAGAAAGGGUUUGUGACUCCCAGGACCACGCUUGGUCUAGAGAGAGAGAGAGAGAGAGAGGGAGGGAGGGAGGAGAGGCAGACGCAGGCGGAGGGCGCAGGGCGCAGGGUGGGCAGGGCGGCACUUACGGGGCCUGCGUGCGGGUCGUGAACUCCUUGAACUCGCUAUCAUGGACGGUGAAGUAGGGGCGGUAGUCGCAGCAGAACUUGAGGGGCUGCAGGCAGCUGUGGGGAGGGACCCGCAGGGACAGUCAGUUCGCAGGGCUGGUCCGGGGCCCCCGGCCCCUCGCGUUGCCGCCCGACCCACCUGGUCAAGGCCAGCACCAUCUCCGAGGACACUGCGGGCGAGGGCGCCAAGACCAGCAGGGGCUCCCCAAGAAGCAUGAGCUCCCACAGCAGCUGCACGUGGGCCAGCACGGGCCGGAAGCACCUGGGCCGGCGGGGGCGUUGGGGAGGCCGGGUGGGAGGCUCCCCAGCCCUUGCCCACCUGCCCCGACCCAGGCCCAGGCAGGCCCUGUCUGGGUGAAGGCUGGGCCUCACUCCAGAGGAAGGCGGCCGUGAGGCCUUGUGAAGAUGCCUGGCCUCGCGCCCCUGCCAUGCCUGAAACCGACAGCCCUGGCUCCCGCUGGCCCCAGCACAGGGCCAGAGGGUCUCCAAAGGUGGGGUCCUCUGAUGGCCCCCCAGAGAGGGCCCCUCUGGCAGCAUCUCUCACCACAGCUGCUCCCUUCCCUGCUCCUGCCUGCCAGGACCUGACUUCCUGCCCACGGUGCCCACUUCCUCUGGGGGCAGACAUCGGGGCACCGGGCUCCUCUUCUGCAGACUCUCCCUCUCAGAACGGGCGGGGGGUUAACUCCUGAUGUCCCCCAGCGCCCCCACCCCGAUGGGCUGAGCCCUGUGGGAUCACUCAUCACCUACCGGGGCAGCAGGUGGUGGCCUGCCAGGCUCACCUGAACAGGUCCAGCUCAUGGACACUGGUGAGGACGACUGGGGCUGGCAGCAGGUUCUGAGAGGAAGGGGGGUGGGGUCAGGCCGGGGGGAGGAUGACGCCUCACAAGCCCCGAGCAGCACAGGUCAUCCCGGGAGAGUCCCGGGGGCCGCAGUCCCUACCCACGUGCCUCCCGGCGCCCCACAGCCCUGCACGGAGACGCAGGCCCUGUGUCUGGGGUCUGGCCACCCCCCAGUAGGUGAGGUGGGGAGGCCCAGGCAGGUGGGAGGGUUGAGGGUUGAGACAGGUAUGGGGCCGUCAGCCUGGGAGCAGGGCGCCCACCUUGUGGCUGCACUGCUUUGGAGGACCGGAUUCAGGCUUGUCUGCGCUGGAUGGGAUGUGCACCUAUGGGUGAAGGAAGCAGCUGCCAGUGGGGCCGGGUGGCGUGUCGACGCGCACUGGGGCCGUCCCGCCCCAGCCAGGCAGCCCUCACCUGGAGGACGACUCCCAUGACAGGCAGGUUCAAGGUCUGCCCCGGCACAGGGGCCGGCCACUGGUCAAUCUCAUUGCAGACUGUGAACACAGGUGGCCAGCGUCAGAAGCCUGUCCUGGAGGAAGCUGCCCGCCGGAGCCACCAGGAGCUACAGCUGGGAUGAUGACGAGGCAGCUCUGGCAGCGCCUGCCGGCCACUCACCCGCUUCCAGGCAGGGCGCCAGCUUGUCGAAGUACUCGGGGGCAACCAGGCUCAGCAGCGCCUGGAACAGCCGGACGAAGGGCAGGCGGGACACCAGCACCAGAGACUGCAGGGCCCAGGGCUGGCUGCUGCGUGCUCUCCCCAGACCGGGAUCUGCCUGGGAGUCACGGCCCGGAAGGCAGGCAACCGCUCUCCAGGGACAUCUCCGCAGACACAGUGGUGAGCGGUUCAGGGGCCCAAGAGCACCGGCCUCUGCACACCGAGCCACGCCCUGGCGCACACGUGGAGCACAGGAAAAGCCCCAAGGACCCUGGCAAGUCCUCAGAAGCGCUGGCCCACCCCCAGUCGAGGCUGGGGUGCCGGGCCUGGCCUGCGGCAGUUGGAGACCCUGCUGGCUGGGGCUGGCCAGGCGCCUUGAAGGGCCGCUCACACCCGCCUGACCCUGGCCUGCAGGGGCAGGGGAGGAGUGCUGGAGAGGCAGCCCGGCUCACCUGCAGAGACACGGGGGCCCCACUGUCACAGUGCCUGUCAUCCGUGUGCCAGGGGCGCCUCUGCCCUCCACACUGACGAAUGCGGAAGCAGAACUGAGUAUCCCCGAGGCAGCCUGGGGAAGAGGUGGUACCCUCACGCUGUGUCCGGGUUGGGCUGGAGCCUCUCCUGCCAGCAUGUGGGGCGGGGGGCCAGGGAGGGGGCGAAGCCCCUGCCGGGCUGCAAAUGCCUCAGAAAAGCCCAGCCCUCCGGCUCUGUGUCUCCCGACAGAGGUCCCCGUGUCUAGAUUCCUGCACCUAAGGGUUUAAACUCAGCACACAGAGAAGCACAGCCACAGCCCCGCAGCGCGUGCACUGUGGGCAAGCACAGGCCGGGGCUUGUGUGGCCCGGCGUAGCCUGCCCGGGGAGGAAAACCAGGCCGACCCGGACACCUGAGCCCUGGUGAAGCCGAGGCCAGGACCCAGCUCCUGGUGACCCCUCUGCUGGGGUGAAGGAGACCAGACCCCACUGCCCAGAGACACCUCUUUCCGCGGGAACCGGGGAAACCGGCUGCCGCGGCGUGGGGCUCUGGCUGUCCCCCUGGAGCGGGAAGGGGGACCGGUGCUUACAGGCUGUGCAGGCCUGGCCGCAGGGGCUCUUGGGCAGCCUCAUCUCCCUCCUUCUUCUUCUCCCCACAGCCCCAGAGAGACACCCAGACCGGGGCGAGGCGGGGUGGCCUACCUGAGUGGGAGUCGGGAAAGGACAGGUAGCAGAUGCUGCUUUUCUGAAACACAGGAAAGCCAGUGAGGGCCUGCUCCCCGGGUGAGGUCUGCUCCUGAGAGGGCUGGGACCCACCUCCUUGUCCGUGAGCUGGAAGUCGCUGGGGUACACCAGCUGCGGGGGACACAGAGUACUCGGUGACAUGGGCUUGGCAGGCUUGGUGCUGGGCUGCAGGUGUGUCCCCCCCACCCCAGCACUGUCAGACCCUCUGGCUCUCCCCCACCUCUGGCUUCCUGCUGACCCCUCCUCCUCUCUUCAGGGCUCCAGCGCCCUGCCCUGCCUCCCCAGGCCCCUCUCGGCCCGAGGCCACUCCUGGCCCCCAUCCUUCCCUUUUCUCGGCCAGCGCACAACUGGGUGAGCUCCUGGACUCCCUUCUCACACCCCUCGCCCUCAAGGCCACUCGCCCAGACUGGGCCUCCCUGCCCCACGUCCCGACAGUCUGUCCCCAAAGCCUCCUCUCUCGCCUAGAGCGGAUGCAGGGCCCUGCCUCCUGGCCCCCACCUCCUGUACCCUCUCAGCGCUCCGAACCCAACCCCACCCAGCCAGAGGGUCUUAGGCUCUGCGGCUCCUCUGGGCCUGCUCUCCCAGACGGCCUGGCCAGCCUCCCCAUCCCGUCUUAACUCAGAUGUUGCCUGACACUGGCACCCCUGCCUCUGAGCAUCUUCACUCCAACCCCUGCUAGUCAGGGGUCCGGGAGCUUCUGGCCUGCUCCCCGCUUGGAGUGUGACCCCUGGAGCACCCAGGCCCCUGGAGUGUAUGGUGAGCGUGACCAGCUGGACAGGCUCUACCUGGGAGACAGGCCACACUCUAGGGGAGCCAGUAGCCCUGUACGCAGGCAAAUGGCCAGAAUGGAUUUCUUUGCAGGAAAGGAAAAAGGCAGGGAACCUCCAGAGCCCUCACUCCCUGCAGGCCCCCAAGUGUCUCCUGGGGACCUGGUGCGCCUUGGGCAUCACUGCUGCCCUGGCCCGUGCUCAGGUGCAGCAGGACGGCUCUCCCAGGAAGCGGCUAUGCCGGGAGCCAGGAGCUGAGGGCCUGCAUGCGUGGCCCCCUCCUUACUCUGUCGGCCAAACUCCCACGCGGAGGAGGACUUGGGUUUUGGCUGACAUGAGGCUUCCUCUGGGGUGUGCCCUGAACCCCCAGAUGGUAAGGUACUGUGCCCUGGGACUUGCACUGUUGUAAUAAUGUAGCUUCUGUCUUUGUUUGCUCUGGGCUUGCUGCUCUGGGCCUAUUCUGUCUCCUCCGCUGCCACCAAGUGUCCUAAGGACAGGGACCGUGUCCCAGGUACUUCCCAGCCCCUGGCAGGGAGUAGACCCUCACCAGAUACUGUACAGUCACACCUCGUUUAUCACAUUUGCUUUAUUGUGCUUCACGGAUGUUGCAUUGUUUACAAAAUAAAGGUUUGUAGCAACCCUACAGGUGCCACUUUUCCAGCAACACUUGCUCACUUUGCAUCUCUGCAUCAUAUUCUCGUAAUUUUCACAACAUCUCAAACUUUUUCAUUUUUAUAUUUGUUACAAGGUAUCUACGUUGUUUUUUAAGAUAUAAUGGUGUUUCUUGCAUACUUAAUAGACUCCAGUCUAGCGUAACCAUAACUUUUAUAUGCGCUGGGAAACCAGCAAAUCUGUGUGACUUGCUUUUCUGCAGUGCUCUGGAACCGAACCUGCAACAUCUCCAAGGUGUGCCUGUAUUUGUGGAGUGCGUGAAAACAUGUCUCCAAAGAAUAAUGGAACAGUUGGGGCAUGUGGAAAUCUCAAGAUGUCAGCUAAGGAGGCACCAAGAAGGAAGGGCCAAGAGGACGGAGGGGAGCCAGCCAAACAGUAUUUGUCUGUGGGGCGGACCCACAGGGGUACCUCGAGAUGGCUCCAAGAGAGGAGGGGCCGCAGGACCACUCGGGCCCCUGCGCGUCCUUGCUGGGAAGGGCAGAGGAAAGGCGGGUGCCUGGCAGCUGGCAGGGCCACGAUGGGCCCUCGGAGCUGAGGUCAGGGGUCUGAAUCUGGUCUGCAGUCACAGGAGUUUUGUAGCAUCUGAGCAGGCUCCACAGCCAUGCCCAGGGCUCCAAGUUCACUGUUCACAAGCUGGGAGCAGAGAUGGAGGGACGGCCCUGCCUGACUGAGGAGAGGAAUGGAGCGGACCCUCAGAGAGGGGCAGAGGGCGAGGGUCUGCCGCACGAUGAACCCUGUCCCCUGGAACCACAGGGGUCUUGUCCUUUCCACGGGAGCCAGUCUGCAGGGGCUGCAGCUCCUGUAACCAAGUCGCCCCUGAGGAAGACAGAUGCAGCGAGCCUCGCCUUGCUGGAGAAGUGUGGCUUCCAGAGGCUGUGACACAGGCCGUCAAGGGGAACUGACUGAAGCUGACGUGAAGAUACAGCGGCCUUCUAUUUGGCCUUUAAAAAGGGACGUAAAAGUGUCAAAUAAUGCCAUUCUCCUCACUGAAUUUGUUUCUGAAAAUGGUUGUUUUUGUGGAAAUAUAUAUAUUUUUAAAGUAAGUAAAUAAAUAUUUAUUUAUUUUC
Orcinus orca (killer whale) is the source of this 5636-nucleotide long non-coding RNA. RefSeq lists it as uncharacterized. The record is from RefSeq and is a predicted model, not a curated record. NCBI's taxonomy places the organism in Eukaryota, Metazoa, Chordata, Mammalia, Artiodactyla, Delphinidae. The transcript is spliced from 4 exons.